UGGGGAAUUUUGCACAAUGGGGGAAACCCUGAUGCAGCGACGCCGCGUGAUUUAGAAGGCCUUCGGGUUGUAAAAAUCUUUUCUAUGGGAAGAAAAUGACAGUACCAUAGGAAUAAGGACCGGCUAAUUACGUGCCAGCAGCCGCGGUAAUACGUAAGGUCCGAGCGUUGUCCGGAAUCAUUGGGCGUAAAGGGUACGUAGGCGGGUAAGCAAGUUAGAAGUGAAAUCCUAUAGCUCAACUAUAGUAAGCUUUUAAAACUGCUCAUCUUGAGGUAUGGAAGGGAAAGUGGAAUUCCUAGUGUAGCGGUGAAAUGCGCAGAUAUUAGGAGGAAUACCGGUGGCGAAGGCGACUUUCUGGCCAUAACCUGACGCUGAGGUACGAAAGCGUGGGUAGAAACAGG
Molecule: ribosomal RNA, 401 nt
Filed under: bacterium
Lineage: Bacteria
Description: partial 16S ribosomal RNA
Rfam family: Bacterial small subunit ribosomal RNA
Source: RNAcentral